This 254-nucleotide ribosomal RNA is filed under the name uncultured bacterium. Its description in RNAcentral is "partial 16S ribosomal RNA". It matches the Rfam family "Bacterial small subunit ribosomal RNA", at positions 524 to 776 of the family's 1533-position model. The record is from RNAcentral.
GACGAACCGUGCGAACGUUGUUCGGAAUCACUGGGCUUAAAGGGCGCGUAGGCGGUCAGCACAAGUCAGUUGUGAAAUCUCCGGGCUUAACUCGGAAAGGUCAACUGAUACUGUGCGACUAGAGUGCGGAAGGGGCAACUGGAAUUCUCGGUGUAGCGGUGAAAUGCGUAGAUAUCGAGAGGAACACCUGCGGCGAAGGCGGGUUGCUGGGCCGACACUGACGCUGAUGCGCGAAAGCCAGGGGAGCGAACGGG